Molecule: long non-coding RNA, 305 nt
Organism: Oncorhynchus keta (chum salmon)
Lineage: Eukaryota; Metazoa; Chordata; Actinopteri; Salmoniformes; Salmonidae
Exons: 3
Source: RefSeq, a predicted model, not a curated record
GGAGGUUUCAUCGCGUGUGUGUGUGUGGAGGUUUCAUCGCGUGUGUGUGUGUGGAGGUUUCAUCGCGUGUGUGUGUGUGGAGGUUUCAUCGCGUGUGUGUGUGUGGAGGUUUCAUCGCGUGUGUGUGUGUGGAGGUUUCAUCGCGUGUGUGUGUGUGGAGGUUUCAUCGCGUGUGUGUGUGUGGAGGUUUCAUCGCGUGUGUGUGUGUGGAGGUUUCAUCGCGUGUGUGUGUGUGGAGGUUUCAUCGCGUGUGUGUGUGUGGAGGUUUCAUCGCGUGUGUGUGUGUGGAGGUUUCAUCGCGUGUG